This 364-nucleotide long non-coding RNA is filed under the name Citrus sinensis (sweet orange). RNAcentral describes it as "long non-coding RNA (CSIN_LNC001035)". The record is from RNAcentral. Lineage: Eukaryota; Viridiplantae; Streptophyta; Magnoliopsida; Sapindales; Rutaceae.
UAAAUUGUGCCAUGAGAAAAGAAAUAUAAAUAAAUUGUGCAAUGAGAAACAAAAUACAACUCAGUAGUACUAUUAGAUCCAUGAAAACUUAUGUUAGGCGCAAAUAUAAAGAGGCAGGGGCUGUUUAGUAAUUUUAGGGUAGGAGCAGUUUAGUAAUUUUAGGGUAGGAGCAGUUUAGUAAUUUUAUUAAUUAAGGUUCAGCUAUAAAUAAGAGAUUAUGGAGUCAUUUAGGGUUUAUGUUGAGUUUUGUUUGGUAUUAUGAACCAUUAGGAGUUUUGGGAGAGAUUGACCUACCUCUCGAAUUGUAGGUCAGGAUUGUUUGUUUUCUUUUGAUUUAAUCAAUAAAAGUCAGCCUUAAUUUAGC